This 403-nucleotide ribosomal RNA is filed under the name Verrucomicrobiota bacterium. Its description in RNAcentral is "Verrucomicrobia bacterium partial 16S ribosomal RNA". It matches the Rfam family "Bacterial small subunit ribosomal RNA", at positions 355 to 776 of the family's 1533-position model. Lineage: Bacteria; Pseudomonadati; Verrucomicrobiota. The record is from RNAcentral.
UGGGGAAUAUUGCACAAUGGGCGCAAGCCUGAUGCAGCAACGCCGCGUGAACGAUGAAGGUCUUCGGAUCGUAAAUCUCUGUUGCAGGGGAAGAUAAUGACGGUACCCUGUGAGGAAGCCCCGGCUAACUACGUGCCAGCAGCCGCGGUAAUACGUAGGGGGCUAGCGUUAUCCGGAUUUACUGGGCGUAAAGGGUGCGUAGGUGGUCUUUCAAGUCGGUGGUUAAAGGCUACGGCUAAACCGUAGUUAGCCUCCGAAACUGGAAGGCUUGAGUGCAGGAGAGGAGAGUGGAAUUCCCAGUGUAGCGAUGAAAUGCGUAGAUAUUGGGAGGAACACCAGUAGCGAAGGCGGCUUUCUGGACUGCAACUGACACUGAGGCACGAAAGCGUGGGUAGCAAACAGG